This 252-nucleotide ribosomal RNA is filed under the name uncultured bacterium. RNAcentral's name for it is "partial 16S ribosomal RNA". It matches the Rfam family "Bacterial small subunit ribosomal RNA", at positions 524 to 776 of the family's 1533-position model. The record is from RNAcentral.
UACGGAGGGUGCGAGCGUUGUCCGGAAUCACUGGGCGUAAAGGGCGCGUAGGCGGCUCGAUAAGGCUGUGGUGAAAGCCCGGGGCUCAACCCCGGGUCGGCCGUGGCGACUGUUGGGCUGGAGCACUGUAGAGGCGGGCGGAUUCCGGGUGUAGCGGUGGAAUGCGUAGAGAUCCGGAAGAACACCGGUGGCGAAGGCGGGUCUCUGGGCCGAUACUGACGCUGAGGAGCGAAAGCAUGGGUAGCGAACAGG